RNAcentral lists this ribosomal RNA (501 nucleotides) under uncultured bacterium. RNAcentral describes it as "partial 16S ribosomal RNA". It matches the Rfam family "Bacterial small subunit ribosomal RNA", at positions 30 to 523 of the family's 1533-position model. The record is from RNAcentral.
AUUGAACGCUGGCGGCAGGCUUAACACAUGCAAGUCGAGCGGGGGAAGGUAGCUUGCUACCGGACCUAGCGGCGGACGGGUGAGUAAUGCUUAGGAAUCUGCCUAUUAGUGGGGGACAACAUCGCGAAAGGGAUGCUAAUACCGCAUACGUACUACGGGAGAAAGCAGGGGAUCUUCGGACCUUGCGCUAAUAGAUGAGCCUGAGUCGGAAUUGCUAGUUGGUGGGGUAAAGGCCUACCAAGGCGACGAGCUGUAGCGGGUCUGAGAGGAUGAUCCGCCACACUUGGACUGAGACACGGCCCAGACUCCUACGGGAGGCAGCAGUGGGGAAUAUUGGACAAUGGGGGGAACCCUGAUCCAGCCAUGCCGCGUGUGUGAAGAAGGCCUUAUGGUUGUAAAGCACUUUAAGCGAGGAGGAGGCUACUCUAGUUAAUACCUAGGGAUAGUGGACGUUACUCGCAGAAUAAGCACCGGCUAACUCUGUGCCAGCCGCCGCCGUAA